AGCACCCGGGCGCGUCCGGGGCUGUGGGAGCCAAAAUUGGGGUCUUGCUGUGUCGCUCAGGCUGGAGUGCAGUGGCGUGAUCACAGGUCACUGCAGCCUUGAACUCCUGGGCUUCAGGGAUCUUCUCAUCUCAGUCUCCUAAAUAGCUGGGACUACAGGCUCAGGCCACCAUGCCUGCAUGAGGCCCUCACCAGAUACAGCCACCUGAUCUUGGACUUCACAGCCUCCAGAAAUAGAUGCCUUCUGCCACGAUUGCAAGUUCCCUGAGGUCUCCCCAGCCAUGCAGAACUUCCAGUGAUUCAAGUUUGACACACCACACCACAGUGGAUGUGCCUUGUCAUGACACAACUUCUCAGCAGCACUAGAAGAUACAUCCGAAGUCCUGUGAGCAAGGUAUGUGGUAUCUGUUUAUUAUGGCAGCCCAGUAAGACUAAGACAGGCCAUCACAAGACGUGAACGUUUUGGACCUUCUCUUGGGCCCUAGUAAACAGAAAUCAGAAGGAAGACAACUUUACUAAUGCUCUGCCAAGCCUCACUUUUCUGUCAUGAUUGGAAGGUUUGAUGUUAU
Molecule: non-coding RNA, 568 nt
Filed under: Pongo abelii (Sumatran orangutan)
Lineage: Eukaryota; Metazoa; Chordata; Mammalia; Primates; Hominidae
Source: RNAcentral